GACGAACGCUGGCGGCGUGCUUAACACAUGCAAGUCGAACGGAAAGGCCCUGCUUUUGUGGGGUGCUCGAGUGGCGAACGGGUGAGUAACACGUGAGUAACCUGCCCUUGACUUUGGGAUAACUUCAGGAAACUGGGGCUAAUACCGGAUAGGAGCUCAUGCUGCAUGGUGGGGGUUGGAAAGUUUCGGCGGUUGGGGAUGGACUCGCGGCUUAUCAGCUUGUUGGUGGGGUAGUGGCUUACCAAGGCUUUGACGGGUAGCCGGCCUGAGAGGGUGACCGGCCACAUUGGGACUGAGAUACGGCCCAGACUCCUACGGGAGGCAGCAGUGGGGAAUAUUGCACAAUGGGCGGAAGCCUGAUGCAGCAACGCCGCGUGCGGGAUGACGGCCUUCGGGUUGUAAACCGCUUUCGCCUGUGACGAAGCGUGAGUGACGGUAAUGGGUAAAGAAGCACCGGCUAACUACGUG
RNAcentral lists this ribosomal RNA (468 nucleotides) under uncultured bacterium. RNAcentral describes it as "partial 16S ribosomal RNA". It matches the Rfam family "Bacterial small subunit ribosomal RNA", at positions 28 to 507 of the family's 1533-position model. The record is from RNAcentral.